GGCGUAGUUGGUACUGUUAGCGAGCCUGCGGCGCGCAGCCCCCUCUCUGCCGCCGCCCCGGGCAGUCGCGACCCAGCGGGGUGAGUCGUAAUUGGCUUCUGUGGCUUAGGCGAAAGCAGACUGUAUCGCGUGUUCAGUGACAAAUGAACCAAAGCAAGAGGUUAUCAUCUCCACAUUGACCUUGCAUCCAAACCCGUGGCUACCAAAUUAAGCUUGCUGGACAAGGAGGAUAACCAGAACUUACUGGGACAGUUUGCUCUGUUUUACUUCUGUUUGCAUCAUGCCUCACUUACAUCAUUUACUCUCACAGGCAUUAAAUUCAGAAAAAAAAUUAUUUUAAAUUCCAUUUCAAUGCAUCAUGAAUAAUUUUCCCUUAAGAAAUGACAGCUUAGAAUCACAUGAAAUUGCUUCCAAAAAGAAGCAAGAUACCUUGCCAGGUAUUAACUAAUUUAGAAUCUCUUAAAUCCUUCAGAAGAAACACAGAAAUCUCAGAUGCUCAGCUCAGCAUCAUGUCCAGAAAUUGGUAUGAAUGCGAGAAGACCAAAGAGGGUACUUGGUAGCUCUCAUCUCACACAGCACAAAGGGAAGGACUUCUUCCUUUCUUUGCUUCACAUGUUGUCUCCAGCAUUCACUGUGUAUCAAAACCACCUACAAACUCCUACAAAAAGGAAUAUUCAUAAUCUUACACUCCAUAAAAUUCAGCAACAGCCUUAGGGUUUUUUCUAGAGGUUUCUGAUGCAGUCAACAUCAGCAGGCUUGUACUGUGAUUAUAUAGUUUGAUUUUCUCUUUUUUAAGUACUAUCCUUCUGCAAGUAUCCCAAAUGUUUUCAAUCUUAUCCAAUUUCUCAUCAGCAAAAUCCUAUGCAGCAUUCUUUUAUGGUUAUGACUGUUUUUCAAGUGUGGUCUCCAGUGUAGCUGAUGAUUCUUGUAGGACAUUUCAGUACUGAAGGCACCAGGUACCUAUAGGCCUUUCAAGAUUUCAACUUCUCUCCUCAUAUCCUCUAUUUCCAUUAAGAAAAAAGGAUGCAUAAAUAAGAAAAAUAUUUUCCCCUAUAGUAUUUUCUCCUGUUGAUGCAUACAGAAAAGAAUCAAAAAUUCUGAUUUCAUAUUUGGCUCCUUACCUAUUGUCAUUCCAGUUCAGUUGUUAAAAGCUUUUUUACUACAGCACAUUCUGGCUCUUUUUGAUAAUUGCAAUUUGUGUAUUGACUUCAGC
Lonchura striata (white-rumped munia) is the source of this 1213-nucleotide non-coding RNA. The record is from RefSeq and is a predicted model, not a curated record. Lineage: Eukaryota; Metazoa; Chordata; Aves; Passeriformes; Estrildidae.